This 252-nucleotide ribosomal RNA is filed under the name uncultured bacterium. Its description in RNAcentral is "partial 16S ribosomal RNA". It matches the Rfam family "Bacterial small subunit ribosomal RNA", at positions 524 to 776 of the family's 1533-position model. The record is from RNAcentral.
UACGUAGGGGCAAGCGUUAUCCGGAUUUACUGGGUGUAAAGGGAGCGUAGACGGCAUGGCAAGUCAGAUGUGAAAGCCCGGGGCUCAACCCCGGGACUGCAUUUGAAACUGUCAGGCUGGAGUGCAGGAGAGGUAAGCGGAAUUCCUAGUGUAGCGGUGAAAUGCGUAGAUAUUAGGAGGAACACCAGUGGCGAAGGCGGCUUACUGGACUGUAACUGACGUUGAGGCUCGAAAGCGUGGGGAGCAAACAGG